UACGGAGGAUGCGAGCGUUAUCCGGAUUUAUUGGGUUUAAAGGGUGCGUAGGCGGACGCUUAAGUCAGCGGUAAAAUUGCGGGGCUCAACCUCGUCGAGCCGUUGAAACUGGGUGUCUUGAGUGGGCGAGAAGUACGCGGAAUGCGUGGUGUAGCGGUGAAAUGCAUAGAUAUCACGCAGAACUCCGAUUGCGAAGGCAGGGUACCGGCGCCCAACUGACGCUGAAGCACGAAGGCGUGGGUAUCGAACAGG
Molecule: ribosomal RNA, 252 nt
Filed under: uncultured bacterium
Lineage: Bacteria
Description: partial 16S ribosomal RNA
Rfam family: Bacterial small subunit ribosomal RNA
Source: RNAcentral